GGGGCGGUAGCUCAGUCGGUCAGAGCCACGGACUCAUAAUCCGGAGGUCGCGGGUUCGAGCCCCGCCCGCCCCACCA
Molecule: transfer RNA, 77 nt
Filed under: Mycolicibacterium fortuitum
Lineage: Bacteria; Bacillati; Actinomycetota; Actinomycetes; Mycobacteriales; Mycobacteriaceae
Also listed under: 1 other name
Description: tRNA-Ile
Rfam family: tRNA
About the family: Transfer RNA (tRNA) molecules are approximately 80 nucleotides in length. Their secondary structure includes four short double-helical elements and three loops (D, anti-codon, and T loops).
Source: RNAcentral